Molecule: ribosomal RNA, 400 nt
Filed under: uncultured bacterium
Lineage: Bacteria
Description: bacterial SSU rRNA
Rfam family: Bacterial small subunit ribosomal RNA
Source: RNAcentral
GGGGGAUAUUGCACAAUGGGGGAAACCCUGAUGCAGCGACGCCGCGUGAGGGAAGACGGUCUUCUGGAUUGUAAACCUCUGUCUUCGGGGACGAUAAUGACGGUACCCGAGGAGGAAGCCACGGCUAACUACGUGCCAGCAGCCGCGGUAAUACGUAGGUGGCAAGCGUUGUCCGGAAUUACUGGGUGUAAAGGGAGCGUAGGCGGGAAUGCAAGUUGAAUGUUUAAUCUAUGGGCUCAACCCAUAUCAGCGUUCAAAACUGUGUUUCUUGAGUGAAGUAGAGGCAGGCGGAAUUCCUAGUGUAGCGGUGAAAUGCGUAGAUAUUAGGAGGAACACCAGUGGCGAAGGCGGCCUGCUGGGCUUUUACUGACGCUGAUGCUCGAAAGUGCGGGGAGCAAAC